AUUAAAUAAACAAAAAAUUGUGUUUCAUAUACAACAUUUGAUCAUUAGCGUAUAUCAAUAUUUUUAUUUGAAAAUUUAGAACUAUUACACUUACAAACCCUAACGAAUUCGUUCCUGUUAAAUUCUAGGAUGUCUCUCCAUAAACAUUGUCAGUUUAUCACUGCAUUUAUCAUCGACGUGCGACAUUUAAACAGCUUUAGUUUUUGUUAAUAAAGAAUUUUCUUAAAAAUUGGCUAUACUUUCUUGUUGAAAUCUACUUUGCCAAAGAAUACAGGAUUAAAAGUUUUGUUGAAUGAUUAAAGCUUCUAUACUUUUAAUAUAGUGGUCAUAAUUGACUAAAAG
Molecule: long non-coding RNA, 342 nt
Organism: Hylaeus volcanicus
Lineage: Eukaryota; Metazoa; Arthropoda; Insecta; Hymenoptera; Colletidae
Exons: 3
Source: RefSeq, a predicted model, not a curated record